ACAACCAGCUGUGCGAUUCCUCAUGUCCCAUGAACUGGAAGUCCAGUUCAACCUUUUUGGCCAACAUUGGAAACAAGCUCUUGGACCUGCGUCUCUUUGAUGUUUUGUAUGGGGACUUAAAAGAAAUUAUCCAUCUACAGAAUCACACAAGCAUACAGCAAAGACUCUCGAAGUGGUUUACUGGAGCCCGAGUGGAAGUGGAAAUAGACUAGAGAGACUGCCAGUUCAAACUCAGGUUGGGGAGGUCUUUCAAGAUGGACAGUUUCAGUAAAGUAUGAGAGAUUUCAAAUUUAAGCAUGCAUAUGGCAUGUAGGUUAUUUUUAAAAAUGUUUAACAAAAAUGUAUUGUGAAAGAUCUAUAUAGGUGUGUAUAUUCACAUUGUGUGUAUCAAUGUGAAUAUACGUGUAUAAAGUUAUAUAGAUAGUAUUUAGAUGUAUACAUUUAUAGACCUGUAGGAAAAUAUGUAGGUGUCUUUAUUUGUGUGCAUCUAUAGAUAUAUAUUUAUAGAUCUGUUUAUAAGUUUGUUAUAGUAAACUAGCUUCUGUUAUUUUCAAAGAUGUCGUGAAUAAUUGCAGAUUUCUUUUUGUGGCACCAUUCCCUGAGUAUUAAUGAAGUUCUAAUAAUUGCUGUAGUGAGGUAAAAAAUAACUCCUGACAAUAUUUUAAAUUACUAAAUAAAAGCCUUGAGCAAAAUAAA
This is a long non-coding RNA of Poeciliopsis prolifica (blackstripe livebearer), 696 nucleotides long. RefSeq lists it as uncharacterized. Lineage: Eukaryota; Metazoa; Chordata; Actinopteri; Cyprinodontiformes; Poeciliidae. The record is from RefSeq and is a predicted model, not a curated record. The transcript has 2 exons.